This 739-nucleotide ribosomal RNA is filed under the name uncultured bacterium. RNAcentral's name for it is "bacterial SSU rRNA". It matches the Rfam family "Bacterial small subunit ribosomal RNA", at positions 66 to 783 of the family's 1533-position model. The record is from RNAcentral.
ACGCGAAAGGCCCCUUCGGGGGCCGAGUAGAGUGGCGCACGGGUGAGUAACACGUAGGUAAUUUGCCUUCGGGUGGGGAAUAACAGCCGGAAACGGCUGCUAAUACCGCAUAAUGCAGCGGCUCGACAUCGAGACAGUUGUUAAAGCGGGGGAUCGCAAGACCUCGCGCCUGAAGAGAAGCCUGCGGCAGAUUAGCUAGUUGGUAGGGUAAUGGCCUACCAAGGCAACGAUCUGUAACCGGCCUGAGAGGGCGGUCGGUCACACUGACACUGACAUACGGGUCAGACUCCUACGGGAGGCAGCAGUCGGGAAUUUUGGGCAAUGGGCGAAAGCCUGACCCAGCAACGCCGCGUGAAGGAUGAAAUCCCUCGGGAUGUAAACUUCGCAAGAAUGGGAAGAAUAAGUAGAAGAUAACACCUUCUAUGAUGACGGUACCAUUUGUAAGCUCCGGCUAACUCCGUGCCAGCAGCCGCGGUAAUACGGGGGGAGCAAGCGUUGUUCGGAUUUACUGGGCGUAAAGGGCGCGUAGGCGGCCACGACAAGUCACUUGUGAAAUCUCCGGGCCUAACUCGGAACGGUCAAGUGAUACUGUCGGGCUAGAGUGCAGAAGGGGCAACUGGAAUUCUCGGUGUAGCGGUGAAAUGCGUAGAUAUCGAGAGGAACACCUGCGGCGAAGGCGGGUUGCUGGGCUGACACUGACGCUGAGGCGCGAAAGCCAGGGGAGCGAACGGGAUUAGAU